RNAcentral lists this ribosomal RNA (405 nucleotides) under uncultured bacterium. RNAcentral describes it as "partial 16S ribosomal RNA". It matches the Rfam family "Bacterial small subunit ribosomal RNA", at positions 30 to 526 of the family's 1533-position model. The record is from RNAcentral.
AUUGAACGCUGGCGGCAGGCUUAACACAUGCAAGUCGAGCGAGCGGCGGACGGGUGAGUAAUGUCUGGGAAACUGCCUGAUGGAGGGGGAUAACUACUGGAAACGGUAGCUAAUACCGCGUACCAUAGGAUGAGCCCAAGUGGGAUUAGGUAGUUGGUGAGGUAAAGGCUCACCAAGCCGACGAUCUCUAGCUGGUCUGAGAGGAUGACCAGCCACACUGUGACUGCGACACGGCCCAGACUCCUACGGGAGGCAGCAGUGGGGAUUAUUGCGCAAUUGGGGCAACCUGACGCAGCCAUUCCGCGUGAAUGAAGAAGGCCUUCGGGUUGUAAAGUUCUUUCGGUAGCGAGGCGUUAACUACAGAAGAAGCACCGGCUAACUCCGUGCCAGCCGCCGCGGUAAUAC